CAAGUUUUGUUACAUCACUCUCGAUGAUUGGCAGGAAUAGUUAUAGCUUCUAUCCUUGCAGUUGCUUCUGUAACUGCCACUGCUGCAGUAGCUGGCGUUGCUUUACAUCAAGGCAUUCAAACUGCGGAUUUCGUGAGAACAUGGCAUCAAGAUGCUCAUUUAUUAUGGCAACAACAAAAGGACUUAGACUCUCAAUUGGCUACAGAUGUGAUACAUUUACAACAUACUGUUUCCUGGCUUGGCGAUAAAGUGACUAUCUUGGCUACCAGAAAUGUUCUAAAGUGUGACUGGAAUUCUUCUCAUAUUUGUGUGACUCCUGGGCCAUAUAAUACCAGUGAUUCCUGGGAAACUGUUAAAAGAUGGUUAAAUGGACAUCAAAAUUUAACUUUUGAAAUUAUGAAUUUGGAAAAAACUAUUAUUGACACCUUUAGUAAGACAUUACCUGAACUAACAGGAUCUGAUAUUUUACAAAAAUCAUCUUCAAGUAUUGCUAAUUUAAAUCCUUUAAGUCAUUUCUCUACCUUGUUGUCAACUUCUUUAGGUAACACUGUAAUAAUUUUUGUUUUGUGUUUUGUUUUGUAUAUAGUCUUCCAACGCUGAAAAAAAGUGAAGGCAACUGAAACAUGAAACCUCUCUUAUUUCUUCUGCUAUGGCUCAUUUACAAAAACAGAAGGAGGGAGAUGUAGAGAAUCAGAUGUGACUGUGAGCUUGAAAACGUAAUUAUUAUUGCCCUUGAUGGAGUCUGCCUGCAAAAGGGAUAUUCUGUCAAGGUCUAGAUAAGGUGACAGCAAAUCAUGCUUGCAUAUGAGAUGUUUUGUUGUCUGUUGGGGUUUACUCGCAAACGAGAGGUUUCUUCAAAGUUUAGAUAAGGUAACAGUGGACAUGCUUGAAAACGAGGUGUCUACUGUCCUUGGGAGGACUUGCCUGCAAAGGGAAUGUUCUCCCAAGUGGGCUAGGAGGGCACUAAGAAAAAUUUUUUUAUCUGUUCUUGACAAAGAGCAGAGCUCAGCAUGCUCAGGCCAAGAGUAGAUUAGCCAUGAGAAGCGGGUCACUUCUGAUUAGAAAGUAAAACUUCUGUAUGCUAUGUUUCAUUAGCUAAAAGACCUGAUUUAUUGCUGGCAGAAGGCUGCCUUCUUUGUUCACAAUACUAUAAAAAAGAUUGCUGUAUAC
This 1170-nucleotide long non-coding RNA is filed under the name Marmota monax (woodchuck). Lineage: Eukaryota; Metazoa; Chordata; Mammalia; Rodentia; Sciuridae. The record is from RNAcentral.